CACCCCUCAAGCUCUGCUUGGUCUUGGGCCGCGCCGGCAACGGCGGGCCUCGAAAACAGUGGCGACGCCAUCGUGCUCUCAGCGUAGUAAUUCUUCUCGCUGUUGGGUCCCGGUGGCCGUCCGCCAGCAACCCCUAACUUUCUAA
Molecule: unclassified non-coding RNA, 145 nt
Filed under: uncultured Helotiaceae
Lineage: Eukaryota; Fungi; Ascomycota; Leotiomycetes; Helotiales; Helotiaceae
Description: sequence contains ITS2
Source: RNAcentral